RNAcentral lists this ribosomal RNA (404 nucleotides) under uncultured bacterium. RNAcentral describes it as "bacterial SSU rRNA". It matches the Rfam family "Bacterial small subunit ribosomal RNA", at positions 355 to 775 of the family's 1533-position model. The record is from RNAcentral.
UGAGGAAUAUUGCACAAUGGGCGAAAGCCUGAUGCAGCAACGCCGCGUGAGGGACGAAGGCCUUCGGGUCGUAAACCUCUUUUCUGGGGGACGAGUAAGGACGGUACUCCAGGAAUAAGUCUCGGCUAACUACGUGCCAGCAGCCGCGGUAAAACGUAGGAGGCGAGCGUUAUCCGGAUCUACUGGGCGUAAAGCGUACGCAGGUGGCUUCGUUAGUCGGACAUGAAAGCUCCUGGCUUAACUGGGAGAGGUUGUUCGAUACUGCGGGGCUUGAGGUUGGGAGAGGGACGUGGAAUUCCCGGUGUAGUGGUGGAAUGCGUAGAUAUCGGGAGGAACACCAGUGGCGCAAGCGGCGUCCUGGCCCACACCUGACGCUGAGGGACGAAAGCGUGGGUAGCGAACAG